CGCCGGAUCGUUUCUCCGCGGUGUGAGGGAGCCACCACCUGCAUUCUGUCCGUCAGCAGCGCUGUUUCUGGAGAAUAAGCCGUCUUAUCAUGACAAUCUGCACAGUGGGUAGAGGAGGCGCGCAUUGUAAAGAAGGAAUAGAAUCCAAGGAAGACACUAACUGGUAAAAUAAACUACUGAAAAACUGCAUAAACACCAUAAACUGGUCUUUCCAAACACAGAAAAAACAUCGCAGCUGCUGUGGGGCAGGUACCUCUGAAGGAUGACCUAACUGAGCUAGCUGACCUAGUUUCCAGUUUUGGGAAGCAUAGAAGGAAGAAUCAGGGAUCUGUGGUAAGAAAUUCAAGGAUUAAGAAAAUUCACCUUGUGCUGUGGUAACUGUUGGUAUGUUCAGUUGCUACUUUGUCUCCUGCCAGCGCAGUAUUGAACUCUAUUACUGCUAGUAGUGG
This 449-nucleotide long non-coding RNA is filed under the name Numida meleagris (helmeted guineafowl). Its description in RNAcentral is "lncRNA (ENSNMEG00000006788.1)". Lineage: Eukaryota; Metazoa; Chordata; Aves; Galliformes; Numididae. The record is from RNAcentral.